AGAGUUUGAUCCUGGCUCAGGAUGAACGCUGGCGGCGUGCUUAACACAUGCAAGUCGAACGAUGAUCCCAGCUUGCUGGGGGAUUAGUGGCGAACGGGUGAGUAACACGUGAGUAACCUGCCCUUAACUCUGGGAUAAGCCUGGGAAACUGGGUCUAAUACCGGAUAUGACUCCUCAUCGCAUGGUGGGGGGUGGAAAGCUUUAUUGUGGUUUUGGAUGGACUCGCGGCCUAUCAGCUUGUUGGUGAGGUAAUGGCUCACCAAGGCGACGACGGGUAGCCGGCCUGAGAGGGUGACCGGCCACACUGGGACUGAGACACGGCCCAGACUCCUACGGGAGGCAGCAGUGGGGAAUAUUGCACAAUGGGCGCAAGCCUGAUGCAGCGACGCCGCGUGAGGGAUGACGGCCUUCGGGUUGUAAACCUCUUUCAGUAGGGAAGAAGCGAAAGUGACGGUACCUGCAGAAGAAGCGCCGGCUAACUACGUGCCAGCAGCCGCGGUAAUACGUAGGGCGCAAGCGUUAUCCGGAAUUAUUGGGCGUAAAGAGCUCGUAGGCGGUUUGUCGCGUCUGCCGUGAAAGUCCGGGGCUCAACUCCGGAUCUGCGGUGGGUACGGGCAGGCUAGAGUGAUGUAGGGGAGACUGGAAUUCCUGGUGUAGCGGUGAAAUGCGCAGAUAUCAGGAGGAACACCGAUGGCGAAGGCAGGUCUCUGGGCAUUAACUGACGCUGAGGAGCGAAAGCAUGGGGAGCGAACAGGAUUAGAUACCCCGGUAGUCC
Molecule: ribosomal RNA, 775 nt
Filed under: uncultured Arthrobacter sp.
Lineage: Bacteria; Bacillati; Actinomycetota; Actinomycetes; Micrococcales; Micrococcaceae
Description: bacterial SSU rRNA
Rfam family: Bacterial small subunit ribosomal RNA
Source: RNAcentral